GACGAACGCUGGCGGCGUGCUUAACACAUGCAAGUCGAACGGUGAAGCGCCUUCCUUUUUGGUGGGUGUGGAUGAGUGGCGAACGGGUGAGUAACACGUGAGUAACCUGCCCCCUUCUUCUGGAUAACCGCAUGAAAGUGUGGCUAAUACGGGAUAUUCUGGGUCUGUGGCAUGAUGGGUCUGGGAAAGAUAUUGUUUCGGUGGGGGAUGGGCUCGCGGCCCAUCAGCUUGUUGGUGGGGUGAUGGCCUACCAAGGCGGUGACGGGUAGCCGGCCUGAGAGGGUGGACGGUCACACUGGGACUGAGACACGGCCCAGACUCCUACGGGAGGCAGCAGUGGGGAAUAUUGCACAAUGGGCGCAAGCCUGAUGCAGCGACGCCGCGUGAGGGAUGGAGGCCUUCGGGUGGUGAACCUCUUUCGCCAGUGAAGCAGGCCUGCCUCGUUUGUGGGUGGGUUGACGGUAGCUGGAUAAGAAGCGCCGGCUAACUACGU
Molecule: ribosomal RNA, 493 nt
Filed under: uncultured bacterium
Lineage: Bacteria
Description: partial 16S ribosomal RNA
Rfam family: Bacterial small subunit ribosomal RNA
Source: RNAcentral